GAUGAACGCUAGCGGCAGGCCUAACACAUGCAAGUCGAGGGGCAGCACAGGUAGCAAUACUGGGUGGCGACCGGCGGAUGGGUGCGUAACGCGUAUGCAACCUACCAUUGAUUGGGGCAUAGCCCGAAGAAAUUCGGAUUAAUACUCCAUAAUAUUCAUCAAAGGCAUCUUUUAUGAAUUAAAGCUUUUGCGAUCAAUGAUGGGCAUGCGUGACAUUAGUUAGUUGGUGAGGUAACGGCUCACCAAAACGAUGAUGUCUAGGGGUUCUGAGGGGAUUAUCCCCCAACUGGUACUGAGACACGGACCAGACUCCUACGGGAGGCAGCAGUGAGGAAUAUUGGUCAAUGGACGCAAGUCUGAACCAGCCAUGCCGCGUGCAGGAUGACGGCCCUAUGGGUUGUAAACUGCUUUUCCACGGGAGAACCCUCGACGUGUCGGAGACUGACGGUACCUGGGAAUAAGCAUCGGCUAACUCCGUGCC
This 481-nucleotide ribosomal RNA is filed under the name uncultured bacterium. Its description in RNAcentral is "bacterial SSU rRNA". It matches the Rfam family "Bacterial small subunit ribosomal RNA", at positions 28 to 509 of the family's 1533-position model. The record is from RNAcentral.